UGUGGCGCCGAUACAGGCUGAACAUUGAUUACAAGUUCCUGCAGGCUUAAUUCUUAAUUCUGAAAAACGACAGCCUACAUGCUGCAUGAAGACAUGAGACGAGAUCCAGCGAUUAGAUAGUUAAACUCUCAUCCCACUAUGUCGUCUUGACUUAUAAAAUGCCUGAAGAAAAGGGAUUUUCGAGGGAAAACAUUCAAUGGGAAGGAGUCUGCAAGGAUCUAUCAAGGGGGUGAGCGGUGAAACUAAGGGUAUUGAUGUAGCAGCAUGCACAAAAUGCAAUGCGUAAUUGAUGAGAUACCCCAUGCGGAAAAUAGCGACAUGAAACAGUUUUUUUGUUAGAAAAAAUGCUGGAAAGAGACGUGAUGGUGCAGUCGGACCCAGUUUUACGCCCGAUGUAUGCAUAAUAUGCACCGAAGAGAGUGUUGAUCAGCGCGCCGAGUCACUGUGCUUGCAGCUCAAAGAACAGGAGCUGCGAUCUGCGGUUACAGCUACAAGCAGAUGACUGAGAAGUGACCGCUAGAAAUUCCAUCACUUUGACUGACGCUAAGAAGUCACCAGGACGACGGGGAGUAGAAUUGAACAAAAUGUUACAGAGAAGUUUCCACUUUUAUUUAAUUUAAGUACUGAUAACAGCGUUAGGUCGAUUGAAACGGUCAGGAACAUUGCCAUGUAUGGAUUGUUUAUGUUCUGACGACCUUUUUUCGUUCCGUGAAUACGAAAGGAUUUUGCAUCUCGUUUUUAGUAUUUUUUGUUGUCGCUGUUAAGACGUCGACGCAAGGGCGCAGAAUGGAUUUGCCUGUUUUCUGAGGAUCACGGGCUCCGCUGCCCGGGUGUUCCGAGUCUCUCAACGAUGCAGAUUCUCCGAGUCGCGUGGGCUUUCGCAGGAGCAGCAGUCUGCUGUUUUGUAAUUUUUUUGAUCCACACACACUUGAUGAAAGAAGGUCAGCUUGCGGCGGGGACGUGCGAGAUCGUCACACUCGACCGCGACAGCAGUCAGCCGCGGCGCACCAUCGCGCGCCAGACGGCACGCUGCGCCUGCAAGAGGGGGCAGAUCGCCGGGACAACGAGAGCCAGGCCAGCUUGUGUGGACGCUCGUAUCGUGAGGACCCGGCAGUGGUGUGAGAUGAUGCCCUGUUUGGACGAUGAAGGCUGUGACCUGUUAGUGAACAAAUCUGGCUGGACCUGUACACAGCCUGGGGGCAGAGUCAAAACAACGACGGCUCUCUGAAGUGCCGGAGUACCCAUUCAAAUACACACAAACAUGGCGGAGAGACUAGCAAACCUGACAGAGAGCGAAACCCAACCACUCGUCAAGAACAGACACGAACUAAACAACAAACUGCAAAACCACAGCGGGCCUUAACGACACAGCAAGGUGUCCUGACAACCGUCGCCACGGAGACUCCCGCGGUGAGGUGCAGUCCGGACGCAGUGACGGUCGUCCAUCUCCUGUCUGUGCCGCAGCGGAUCGCCUACCGCCCGCCACUCGCUCCACACGUCCAUCCGUCUGUCUGUCCAUCCGUCUGCGUCAUACACGGACAGCGCCCCCUAGUGCCGCGUCGAACUGCCGGCUCUCGUCAGCGGGAUGUAGCGCACUGCGAUGGCUGCUGCCUCACGCUGUUCCCACUCUUAUUCUGCUGGUGGAGUACUCUCCCCCGAACUGACCCAACCCCCCCACGCCCGGAGGACUGUGGGGUACUGGCUCGCCAUGGACAGGACCAGCAGUUCAUUCACAGCACGAGACCGCAGGGAAAGGGACCUCGCUAUGCCCGUCUUGUGUAUAUGGCAACUGCUGAACUUAAUAUUUGGCGCUUUCUCGAUAUUUUUACAGACCAAAGAAAAACUACAAUUUAGGCGGACAGGAUGGACCAAGUUGAAAACAGACGGCAUUCUGGGAACCUUACAAAUUCAGCUGGACUGCAGUGGACAGCUGGCAAAAACACACACAAAAACACAUGUAAACAUAUGCACACACACGCUCACACACUGUACACACACACGACUGCUGCUGAAUGGAGCAAAAGGUUUGUGGACAAAAAUAAGUGACCUGUUUAAUCUGAAAUAUCAAAGGACCUUUAAUACUUUGCUGACAUUUUUCUUGGACUUAACUCACUUUGGUAUUUGAACCUGAUUAUAUAUAUAAUGUUAUGUAUAUAAUAUUAUAUAUAUAUAAUCAGAUUUUCAUUUUCCAGUAGCUAUAUUUGGACAAUUUGCAAUAAGCAUGGUUGGUUACAGUAAAAGCAAACCAUUCAUCACCAGAAAGGAAUUAAACAAUGAGUCGUAUCAGUUUGGGGAAGAAAAAAAAUCAUUAAAUGUAUUUUGAAGAGCCUAAAGUUAUAUAUUUAACAGUUUUAUAUGUUGUAUCUUUGUAGAAAACCUUAUUUAACACAAAUAAUGUGGUAACAAUGGCAGUCAUAAACAGUGGAUACAAGAAGAACUCUGUGCUCAUCUUGCUGGUCUGUCCCACUCUUUCAUUGGCCCGUGAUUGGCCGGUCUCUUUUCUAUCCAUUGAUAUUGUUUCGAUCACAAAACAUGACCAACAUUGGCUAUAUAUUAAAAAGAAAGAGGAAAAACAACUAGACUUUUUAUACCUCUUUAGCAUCUGGACCAUGGAGUUGUUUGCCAUUGUUCUGUAUAGUGGUAGUGUGGAAAUCCGUUCCAUUCUGACUGGUAUCUCUAUGAGUUUCUUUGUGUGUGUGUGUUUGUAUGUGUGUGUGUGUGCGUAUGUGAGUGGAUGAAUGUAAGCAUGAAUGGGUGUGUUUGGUGCACAGUGCUGACCUCAGAUUAAUGUUACUUGAAGGCAGAAAUGUCUUGGAAAAAUCUUAGAAUCAUUAAGAAAAUAUUUUAUACUAAAAAGUAUACAAAUAAAUACAGUACAUGCAAGAAAUAUCAGUCACUCAAAUUUAAUGUUGAAAACAAAAGUAAGCGUUAAAAACAUGCACGACUCUAAAAGGCUUAGAGACUCAUCACGUUUUUCUAGAGUUUUUUGAUUUUAUUCAUUUUUCUGUGUGGUAAGACCUGUAAUGUACGUGGAGAAAAAUUGGUUCCUUUCAUGAUGGAAAGAGUGUUUCUUCCAGUAUUUUGAGUUAGUCAGCCAAUGUGUAAUGCAGUAUGCAGUAUGUAGUAUGCACAUCCACUACAGUCUAAACAGUGAGGUAAAAAUACAUGGUAUAUACUGUACAUACAUACAUACACACAUACAAACAAUGACACACACACACUUACAUACAUACAUGAAAGGAACCAAGGUGAUUUUUAUUGAUACAGUUGAGAAUGAUACAUAUACAUUUGAUUCCAGUUGUCAUUGGCUGGCAUAGCCCAACAGGAACUUUACCUGGAAUUAUUAUUAAAUAGGCUAAUUAGCCAAUAUCUACAGAAAUGGACCAAUGGGUUUGUGUCUGUCUGGAAAUAAAAUAAAAGAAUUCUAAAUA
Molecule: RNA transcript, 3431 nt
Organism: Conger conger (European conger)
Lineage: Eukaryota; Metazoa; Chordata; Actinopteri; Anguilliformes; Congridae
Gene: tafa5a
Gene name: TAFA chemokine like family member 5a
Exons: 5
Source: RefSeq, a predicted model, not a curated record